AGCGGAGGAAAAGAAACUAACAAGGAUUCCCCUAGUAACUGCGAGUGAAGCGGGAAAAGCUCAAAUUUAAAAUCUGGUGGCCUUUGUCCAUNCGAGUUGUAAUUUAGAGAAGCGUCUUCCGCGCUGGACCGUGCACAAGUCUCCUGGAAUGGAGCGUCGUAGAGGGUGAGAAUCCCGUCUUUGGCACGGACACACCAGGGCUUCUGUGAUGCGCUCUCGAAGAGUCGAGUUGUUUGGGAAUGCAGCUCAAAAUGGGUGGUGAACUCCAUCUAAAGCUAAAUAUUGGCGAGAGACCGAUAGCGAACAAGUACCGUGAGGGAAAGAUGAAAAGCACUUUGGAAAGAGAGUGAAACAGUACGUGAAAUUGUUGAAAGGGAAACGCUUGAAGUCAGUCGCGUCGGCCGAGACUCAGCCUUGCCUCGGCUCGGUGUACUUCUCGGUUGACGGGUCAGCAUCAAUUUUGCCCCUUGGAUAAUGGCGAGGGAAAUGUGACACCUUUAUAGGUGUGUUAUAGUCUCUCGUCGCAUGCAAGGGUCGGGAUUGAGGAACUCAGCACGCCCCUUUGGGCGUCGGGGUUUUGCCCACGAUACGUGCUUAGGAUGUUGGCGUAAUGGCUUUAAACGACC
This 626-nucleotide ribosomal RNA is filed under the name uncultured Russulaceae. RNAcentral describes it as "LSU rRNA". It matches the Rfam family "Eukaryotic large subunit ribosomal RNA", at positions 49 to 649 of the family's 3401-position model. The record is from RNAcentral. Lineage: Eukaryota; Fungi; Basidiomycota; Agaricomycetes; Russulales; Russulaceae.